RNAcentral lists this ribosomal RNA (473 nucleotides) under uncultured bacterium. RNAcentral's name for it is "bacterial SSU rRNA". It matches the Rfam family "Bacterial small subunit ribosomal RNA", at positions 28 to 475 of the family's 1533-position model. The record is from RNAcentral.
GACGAACGCUGGCGGCGUGCCUAAUACAUGCAAGUAGAACGCACAGUUUAUACCGUAGCUUGCUACACCAUAAACUGUGAGUUGCGAACGGGUGAGUAACGCGUAGGUAACCUGCCUGGUAGCGGGGGAUAACUAUUGGAAACGAUAGCUAAUACCGCAUAAUAUUGAUUAUUGCAUGAUAAUUGAUUGAAAGGUGCAAUUGCAUCACUACCAGAUGGACCUGCGUUGUAUUAGCUAGUAGGUGAGGUAACGGCUCACCUAGGCGACGAUACAUAGCCGACCUGAGAGGGUGAUCGGCCACACUGGGACUGAGACACGGCCCAGACUCCUACGGGAGGCAGCAGUAGGGAAUCUUCGGCAAUGGACGAAAGUCUGACCGAGCAACGCCGCGUGAGUGAAGAAGGUUUUCGGAUCGUAAAGCUCUGUUGUAAGAGAAGAACGGGUGUGAGAGNGGAAAGUUCACACNGNGACGG